GUCCACUUGAAUCCGUGCCGAGAUUUCGGCAGACACCAGACAAUCAGGACUGAUGAGAAUCCCAAGAUAAGUGGGGUG
Molecule: microRNA precursor, 78 nt
Filed under: Schistosoma margrebowiei
Lineage: Eukaryota; Metazoa; Platyhelminthes; Trematoda; Strigeidida; Schistosomatidae
Description: mir-3492 microRNA precursor family
Rfam family: mir-3492 microRNA precursor family
Source: Rfam by way of RNAcentral